AGUGAACCCUGGCGGUAGGCCUAACACAUGCAAGUCGAACGGCAGCACAGUAAGAGCUUGCUCUUACGGGUGGCGAGUGGCGGACGGGUGAGGAAUACAUCGGAAUCUACUUUUUCGUGGGGGAUAACGUAGGGAAACUUACGCUAAUACCGCAUACGACCUACGGUUGAAAGCAGGGGAUCUUCGGACCUUGCGCGAUUGACUGAGCCGAUGUCGGAUUAGCUAGUUGGCGGGGUAAAGGCCCACCAAGGCGACGAUCCGUAGCUGGUCUGAGAGGAUGAUCAGCCACACUGGAACUGAGACACGGUCCAGAAUCCUACGGGAGGCAGCAGUGGGGAAUAUUGGACAAUGGGCGCAAGCCUGAUCCAGCCAUACCGCGUGGGUGAAGAAGGCCUUCGGGUUGUAAAGCCCUUUUGUUGGGAAAGAAAAGCAGCAGGUUAAUACCCCGCUGUUCUGACGGUACCCAAAGAAUAAGCACCGGCUAACUUCGUG
RNAcentral lists this ribosomal RNA (492 nucleotides) under uncultured bacterium. Its description in RNAcentral is "partial 16S ribosomal RNA". It matches the Rfam family "Bacterial small subunit ribosomal RNA", at positions 29 to 507 of the family's 1533-position model. The record is from RNAcentral.